UGAAAGGUAUACAUCAACAAAAAGAAAAGUACAAAAGAGGAUUAAAAGGAAAAGGAAACACACAUUCCUUGCUUAAUAGCGGUUUCAGCAAAUAUGUUAAAACCAAACAUGGCCCUGUCCUUUUGUUCUGCAGAGAAAAUAAAAGAAAUCUUUUAAGGCAUUAAAAGCGUUAAAAAUAAAAAGGAAUAAUAUUUUAUGUAUUAAGUGCCAAAUUAACAAAAUAUACAUUUUAAAAUAAAUAUUACGUUAUAUUUUUAAUGUAAAUUAAUUGUUUUACUUUAUUUCUGUAAUUAAAUUAAUAAUAUGUAUAUCUCCCAUAAAUUUAUUAUACUUUACGAUGUAUUUAUGAAUAAAUAAAACCUAUAACAUUUUUAUAUUAAAAAUAAUUUUGUUUAAAAUGCAUUAGAUACUGAAUUUAGAUAUAUUUCAAUUGACAAUCAAUCAUCAAUUUGAUAUGUUGUGAGAGUCUAAUCUAUUUAAUUAGGUUCGAUUUUAAAUUGAUUAAAUUUUUUGUUUUUCUUACAUUUUUUAUAAUGCACAAAUAAAAUAGUAUUAUGUCGUGCACAAAUUAGUUUAGUAUGAUCAAUAAAUUCAACUAUAUUUUAAUGAAAAUUUAUUAAUCAAAUAAUGUAAACAACUCAAUUUUUGUUUUUAUUAAAUCAAAAGGUCAAAAUGUGAUUUGAAAUAUCAUAAUUAAGUUCUUAACUCUUAAAAAUUUAAUAUUAUUAAUUUGAACGUUUUGUCAUGAUUUUGAAUUGAAUACUUCGUAAUUGCGUAAGUUUUGAGUUUGAAUCAAAUAAUUUAUAGUUAUGUGAAUGAUUUUAUAAUAGUAUUUAUUAUUUCUUUUAAGACAAAAAUAACCAUAAUUAAAUCUUUAAAUUUUAAUUUAACAUUAUUUUUAGGUUGCAGUCAUGUAUGAAUUUGAACUCAAAGUUUAAUUAUUUAAAAAUUUAGGUUUAAAUAUGUAUUUGGUAUUAACGUCAAAUAAAAAAGAAUGAAGAGUUUUUUAAAAAUUUUAAACCCUUCUUUUAAUUUUAUUUAUAUUUUCUUUAUAAAAUAAUACUAAUUAUUAAAUAAUUAAUAAAUAAUUUUAUUAAUUAAUAAUAUAAAACAUUUUAAUUUUUAAUAAUUAUAAAAAAUAAUAUGUUAGUAUGUAUAUAUAGACUCAUGUGUUGUAUGUAUGACAGUUUAUAGUUUUUUUUUUAAGGAUCAAAAUUAAUUGUUUUUGAGAAAAAGUAAAAUAAAAAAGGAAUAUAUUUAUUAAAAUUAAAAAUAUAUUUAAAUUAAUUAUUUAUUCUAAUUAAAAUAACAAAUAAAAAAAUACCACAAUGAAUAUAACCGUAUCUAAAAAAUGAUUAUUGCUGUAAAUGAAAAGAACAUAGUUGACAUAUAAGAAGAAAUUUAGUUUAAUAUUGAUGUAUUUGAUCUCAUUAAAAACCAAAAGAUAGAGAAAUGAAUGGAUAAAGAUGAUGAGUAUUUAUUUGUUAUGCAAAGAGUAGUAGUAUCGAAAUAAAAGUAAAAGAUAUGGAAAAGUAAAAGUAUAAAAAAGAAAAAAGAAAAAAGAAAAGGAAAAUAGAGACAUUUAGAGAAAUGAAUGAAUGUGAUUACCUCAUCUGAUAUAAGUAGGUCAUACAUUACACUCAUCACCAGCUGCCUCUCAAACUUCUCUCCACCCAUUUUCCACAAUCCAAUACCGCGUUC
Molecule: long non-coding RNA, 1701 nt
Filed under: Cicer arietinum (chickpea)
Lineage: Eukaryota; Viridiplantae; Streptophyta; Magnoliopsida; Fabales; Fabaceae
Description: long non-coding RNA (CARI_LNC001793)
Source: RNAcentral